RNAcentral lists this ribosomal RNA (253 nucleotides) under uncultured bacterium. RNAcentral's name for it is "partial 16S ribosomal RNA". It matches the Rfam family "Bacterial small subunit ribosomal RNA", at positions 524 to 776 of the family's 1533-position model. The record is from RNAcentral.
UACAGAGGGUGCAAGCGUUGUUCGGACUUAUUGGGCGUAAAGGGCGCGUAGGCGGUGCGGUAAGUCUGCUGUGAAAUCUCCGGGCUCAACUCGGAGCCUGCAACGGAAACUGCCGUGCUGGAGUAUGGGAGAGGUGAGUGGAAUUCCCGGUGUAGCGGUGAAAUGCGUAGAUAGCGGGAGGAACAGCUGUGGCGAAAGCGGCUCACUGGACCAUAACUGACGCUGAGGCGCGAAAGCUAGGGGAGCAAACAGG